AGAGUUGAUCCUGGCUCAGGAUGAACGCUAGCUACAGGCUUAACACAUGCAAGUCGAGGGGCAGCAUGAAGUUUGCUUGCAAACUUGAUGGCGACCGGCGCACGGGUGAGUAACGCGUAUCCAACCUUCCCUAUACUAGAGGAUAGCCCGGCGAAAGUCGGAUUAAUACUCUAUGUUGUAUUUCGAGGACAUCUGAAUAAUACCAAAGGUUUACCGGUAUAGGAUGGGGAUGCGUCUGAUUAGGUUGUUGGCGGGGUAACGGCCCACCAAGCCUACGAUCAGUAGGGUUCUGAGAGGAAGGUCCCCCACAUUGGAACUGAGACACGGUCCAAACUCCUACGGGAGGCAGCAGUGAGGAAUAUUGGUCAAUGGACGAGAGUCUGAACCAGCCAAGUAGCGUGCAGGAUGACGGCCCUAUGGGUUGUAAACUGCUUUUAUACAGGGAUAAAGUUCACUACGUGUAGUGUUUUGUAGGUACUGUAUGAAUAAGGACCGGCUAAUUCCGUGCCAGCCGCUGC
This 518-nucleotide ribosomal RNA is filed under the name uncultured bacterium. Its description in RNAcentral is "bacterial SSU rRNA". It matches the Rfam family "Bacterial small subunit ribosomal RNA", at positions 8 to 518 of the family's 1533-position model. The record is from RNAcentral.